UACGGGGGGGGCAAGCGUUAUUCGGAAUUACUGGGCGUAAAGGGCUCGUAGGUGGCCAACUAAGUCAGACGGGAAAUCCCUCGGCUUAACCGGGGAACUGCGUCUGAUACUGGAUGGCUUGAGUUUGGGAGAGGGACGCGGAAUUCCAGGUGUAGCGGUGAAAUGCGUAGAUAUCUGGAGGAACACCGGUGGCGAAGGCGGCCCUCUGGACGGAUACUGACGCUGAGGAGCGAAAGCGUGGAGAGCGAACAGG
Molecule: ribosomal RNA, 253 nt
Filed under: uncultured bacterium
Lineage: Bacteria
Description: partial 16S ribosomal RNA
Rfam family: Bacterial small subunit ribosomal RNA
Source: RNAcentral